CUACGUGCCAGCAGCCGCGGUAAUACGUAGGGUGCGAGCGUUAAUCGGAAUUACUGGGCGUAAAGCGGGCGCAGACGGUUACUUAAGCAGGAUGUGAAAUCCCCGGGCUCAACCUGGGAACUGCGUUCUGAACUGGGUGACUAGAGUGUGUCAGAGGGAGGUAGAAUUCCACGUGUAGUAGUGAAAUGCGUAGAGAUGUGGAGGAAUACCGAUGGCGAAGGCAGCCUCCUGGGAUAACACUGACGUUCAUGCCCGAAAGCGUGGGUAGCAAACAGGAUUAGAUACCCUGGUAGUCCACGCCCUAAACGAUGUCGAUUAGCUGUUGGGCAGCAUGACUGCUUAGUAGCGAAGCUAACGCGUGAAAUCGACCGCCUGGGGAGUACGGUCGCAAGAUUAAAACUCAAAGGAAUUGACGGGGACCCGCACAAGCGGUGGAUGAUGUGGAUUAAUUCGAUGCAACGCGAAGAACCUUACCUGGUCUUGACAU
Molecule: ribosomal RNA, 487 nt
Filed under: uncultured bacterium
Lineage: Bacteria
Description: bacterial SSU rRNA
Rfam family: Bacterial small subunit ribosomal RNA
Source: RNAcentral